This 478-nucleotide ribosomal RNA is filed under the name Adenomera hylaedactyla (Napo tropical bullfrog). Its description in RNAcentral is "partial 16S ribosomal RNA". It matches the Rfam family "Bacterial large subunit ribosomal RNA", at positions 1860 to 2541 of the family's 2925-position model. Lineage: Eukaryota; Metazoa; Chordata; Amphibia; Anura; Leptodactylidae. The record is from RNAcentral.
UGCCCAGUGACAUUGUUCAACGGCCGCGGUAUCCUAACCGUGCGAAGGUAGCGUAAUCACUUGUUCUUUAAAUGAGGACUAGUAUGAAAGGCAUCACGAGAGUCAUACUGUCUCCUUUCUCUAAUCAGUGAAACUAAUCCCCCCGUGAAGAAGCGGGGAUAGAAAUAUAAGACGAGAAGACCCUAUGGAGCUUUAAACAUAUGAUAUAUACCCUUUUAACUUCAAAUUUCAGAAAAAUCUCCUAUUUUGGUAUAAUAACUAAUAGUUUUUGGUUGGGGUGACCACGGAAUAAAAAACAACUUCCACAAUGAAAGAUUCUCCUUCACUAAGUUAAGGACUACAGCCCUAUACAUCAAUAAAUUGACAUAAUUGACCCAACAUAUUGAUCAAUGAACCAAGUUACCCUAGGGAUAACAGCGCAAUCCACUUUAAGAGCUCUUAUCGACAAGUGGGCUUACGACCUCGAUGUUGGAUCAGG